CGGUGCCUAAAACAUGCAAGUCGAGCGGUAAGGCUUUGCACUUAGUGUUUGAUCGAGAUAAUUUAUUAUCACAGUUAACCAAUCGGAACCGUUGGCGGGGGAAGUGCGGAAGAGGAAGAUCGAAUUAUAAGUGUAGAGUACACGAGCGGCGGACGGGUGAGUAACACGUGGGAAUCUACCCCAAACUGAGGGAUAAGCACCGGAAACGGUGUCUAAUACCGCAUAUGGUCUUCGGAUUAAAGCUUCGGCGGUUUGGGAAGAGCCCGCGCAAGAUUAGCUAGUUGGUGAGGUAAAGGCUCACCAAGGCGACGAUCUUUAGCUGGUUUGAGAGGAUGAUCAGCCACACUGGAACUGAGACACGGUCCAGACUCCUACGGGAGGCAGCAGUUAGGAAUUUUCCACAAUGGGCGCAAGCCUGAUGGAGCAACGCCGCGUGCAGGAUGAAGGUUUUCGGAUUGUAAACUGCUUUUAUAAGUGAAGAAUAUGACGGUAACUUAUGAAUAAGGAUCGGCUAACUCCGUG
RNAcentral lists this ribosomal RNA (522 nucleotides) under uncultured bacterium. Its description in RNAcentral is "bacterial SSU rRNA". It matches the Rfam family "Bacterial small subunit ribosomal RNA", at positions 43 to 507 of the family's 1533-position model. The record is from RNAcentral.